This 595-nucleotide ribosomal RNA is filed under the name uncultured bacterium. RNAcentral's name for it is "bacterial SSU rRNA". It matches the Rfam family "Bacterial small subunit ribosomal RNA", at positions 54 to 643 of the family's 1533-position model. The record is from RNAcentral.
CAUGCAAGUCGAGCGGCAGCAGGUCCUUCGGGAUGCUGGCGAGCGGCGGACGGGUGAGUAACACGUGGGAAUCUGCCCAUCGGUGGGGGAUAGCCCGAGGAAACUCGGAUUAAUACCGCAUACGCCCUACGGGGCAAAGUAGACCUCUGAUUUAAGUUUACGCCGAUGGAUGAGCCCGCGGCCGAUUAGCUAGUUGGUGGGGUAAAGGCCUACCAAGGCAACGAUCGGUAGCUGGUCUGAGAGGACGAUCAGUCACACCGGAACUGAGACACGGUCCGGACUCCUACGGGAGGCAGCAGUGGGGAAUAUUGGACAAUGGGCGAAAGCCUGAUCCAGCAAUGCCGCGUGGGUGAAGAAGGCUUGAGGGUUGUAAAGCCCUUUCAGCAGGGAGGAACACCGUACGGUUAAUACUCGUGCGUCUUGACGUUACCUGCGGAAGAAGCACCGGCUAACUCCGUGCCAGCAGCCGCGGUAAUACGGAGGGUGCAAGCGUUAAUCGGAAUUACUGGGCGUAAAGCGCGCGUAGGCGGUCGGAUAAGUCGGAUGCGANAGCCCCGGGCUCAACCUGGGAAUUGCAUUCGAUACUGUCUGGCUA